AGGGAAAGUUGAAAAGAACUUUGAAGAGAGAGUUCAAAAGGGCGUGAAACCGCUUAGAAUAAAACGGACGGAGCCGUCAGUGGCCCGAUGGAAUCAGUCGUACGACGCGCGAUAAUUCUCAAGUCGGAGCGAAUAGUACGACUUGUUGGAUUGUGGAAAUAUAGCGUUCGUUCGAUGCAUUUCCAGAGGGUAAGCGCCGCGACCGAUGCGAAAGGCUAGUGAAACUAGCGAGUUGAGGGCGAAACCUUUCGGGGUAUUCGUAACCAGCUCGUUGGUCUUUAGUCGCUAGACCGUAGUAUGCAUCGAGCGCAGUAAUAUCUAUAACGCCGGCGUAAACGCUCGUUCAAGUAGUGGAAAGUCAACGGAUUAUUCGUCGCCUGCUCGCAGGUUACGUUUAUUCCCGUUUGGCGCUAGAAACUACAGGCGAGUAUCGGCGUUUGGGCGUCAGCGGCGUCCGAGACGGUCAACCGUCCGACCCGUCUUGAAACACGGACCAAGGAGUCUAACGUACGCGCGAGCUAAUGAGUGGAAAACUCAUAAGCGCAAUAAAAGUGAAAACCGUCUCAGGCGGUGUGGGGUACGAUCCUCGUAUAGCGAUAUUCGAGGCGCAGUACCAUCCCGUCCUAAUCGCUUGUCGAUAGGGCGGAGAUUGAGUGCAUACGUUGGGACCCGAAAGAUGGUGAACUAUGCCUGAGCAGAGCGAAGCCAGAGGAAACUCUGGUGGAGGUUCGUAGCGGUUCUGACGUGCAAAUCGAUCGUCUAGAC
RNAcentral lists this ribosomal RNA (765 nucleotides) under Paralongidorus iranicus. RNAcentral's name for it is "eukaryotic LSU rRNA". It matches the Rfam family "Eukaryotic large subunit ribosomal RNA", at positions 356 to 910 of the family's 3401-position model. Lineage: Eukaryota; Metazoa; Nematoda; Enoplea; Dorylaimida; Longidoridae. The record is from RNAcentral.